AGUGAGCGCUGGCGGUAGGCCUAACACAUGCAAGUCGAACGGCAGCACAGUAAGAGCUUGCUCUUACGGGUGGCGAGUGGCGGACGGGUGAGGAAUACAUCGGAAUCUACUUUUUCGUGGGGGAUAACGUAGGUAAACUUACGCUAAUACCGCAUACGACCUACGGGUGAAAGCAGGGGAUCUUCGUACCUUGCGCGAUUGAAUGAGCCGAUGUCGGAUUAGCUAGUUGGCGGGGUAAAGGCCCACCAAGGCGACGAUCCGUAGCUGGUCUGAGAGGAUGAUCAGCCACACUGGAACUGAGACACGGUCCAGACUCCUACGGGAGGCAGCAGUGGGGAAUAUUGGACAAUGGGCGCAAGCCUGAUCCAGCCAUACCGCGUGGGUGAAGAAGGCCUUCGGGUUGUAAAGCCCUUUUGUUGGGAAAGAAAAGCAGCAGGUUAAUACCCCGCUGUUCUGACGGUACCCAAAGAAUAAGCACCGGCUAACUUCGUG
Molecule: ribosomal RNA, 492 nt
Filed under: uncultured bacterium
Lineage: Bacteria
Description: partial 16S ribosomal RNA
Rfam family: Bacterial small subunit ribosomal RNA
Source: RNAcentral